AACCUCCGCAAUGUGAGAAAUCGCGACGGGGGGAUCCCAAGUGCCAUUCUUAACGGGAUGGCUUUUCAUUAGUGUAAAGAGCUUUUGGAAUAAGGGCUGGGCAAGACCGGUGCCAGCCGCCGCGGUAACACCGGCAGCUCUAGUGGUAGCAGUUUUUAUUGGGCCUAAAGCGUCCGUAGCCGGUUUAAUAAGUCUCUGGUGAAAUCCUGUAGCUUAACUGUGGGAAUUGCUGGAGAUACUAUUAGACUUGAGACCGGGAGAGGUUAGAGGUACUCCCAGGGUAGAGGUGAAAUUCUGUAAUCCUGGGAGGACCGCCUGUUGCGAAGGCGUCUAACUGGAACGGUUCUGACGGUGAGGGACGAAAGUUAGGGGCGCGAACCGGAUUAGAUACCCGGGUAGUCCUAACUGUAACGAUGCGGACUUGGUGUUGGGGUGGCUUUGAGCUGCUCCAGUGCCGAAGGGAAGCUGUUAAGUCCGCCGCCUGGGAAGUACGGUCGCAAGACUGAAACUUAAAGGAAUU
This 520-nucleotide ribosomal RNA is filed under the name uncultured bacterium. RNAcentral's name for it is "bacterial SSU rRNA". It matches the Rfam family "Archaeal small subunit ribosomal RNA", at positions 345 to 866 of the family's 1478-position model. The record is from RNAcentral.